GACGAACGCUGGCGGCGUGCUUAACACAUGCAAGUCGAACGGAAAGGCCCUGCUUUUGUGGGGUGCUCGAGUGGCGAACGGGUGAGUAACACGUGAGUAACCUGCCCUUGACUUUGGGAUAACUUCAGGAAACUGGGGCUAAUACCGGAUAGGAGCUCCUGCUGCAUGGUGGGGGUUGGAAAGUUUCGGCGGUUGGGGAUGGACUCGCGGCUUAUCAGCUUGUUGGUGGGGUAGUGGCUUACCAAGGCUUUGACGGGUAGCCGGCCUGAGAGGGUGACCGGCCACAUUGGGACUGAGAUACGGCCCAGGCUCCUACGGGAGGCAGCAGUGGGGAAUAUUGCACAAUGGGCGGAAGCCUGAUGCAGCAACGCCGCGUGCGGGAUGACGGCCUUCGGGUUGUAAACCGCUUUCGCCUGUGACGAAGCGUGAGCGACGGUAAUGGGUAAAGAAGCACCGGCUAACUACGUG
Molecule: ribosomal RNA, 468 nt
Filed under: uncultured bacterium
Lineage: Bacteria
Description: partial 16S ribosomal RNA
Rfam family: Bacterial small subunit ribosomal RNA
Source: RNAcentral